CCAAAGUUCAAUUUCCAAACCUGGGCUGAAUGACUCCAGGAUAUAUUUUUUUUUCUUGUCACAGAUUCCCUGCAGAGCCAGUCCAUGUCUACUCAGGGAUAACACCAGCCUUUUCCAAGUGUCUUGGGUGCAGGGAGAGAGAGGACUGAGAGAGAAAGCCUAUAGUGCUACUGAUUUAACGCCUGAAAUUCAACUUCCAGGAGGAAGGAGUAAAGGAGGGACAGAGAGAAGGGAUUCACUGCUGGUGUGAUCAGGUGAGGAGAGAACUGGGAAGAUUCAAUUCAGAGAGAUCAUCCAAGAAAUGAAAACUCCCAAAUUUUUAAGCUGGGGGUUAGGAUAAAUUCAUUUCUUACGCACACUCUCCCUAUCAUAUUGUUAUUUUUUAGUGACUCUUUCCACUUGGUUUAGUGCUAAUUAUUUACCAGUUACUGUAUAAGAAAAAAAUCUAUACUAAAUUGCUAUUAAAGGGCCAUUGGAUUGGAGUAAAUGAAACUUCAGAGUUAUGUUUUAUUGCAUGUCAGCUAUGUAGAAGCUAAUUUUAAACAAGAAUGUUUAAAAUGUACUCCUUAGAACAAUUAAAUCUUUCCCUUCUCAUUUACAGAGCACUACAUAUCCUUGUUAUUGAGAAUGUAUAGAGGCAGCAUGGUAUAGAGACUGGAGCAGGAGACCAAAGGCCCUGAGUGUACUAACCCCACCAUCGAUCUAAUCUAUGUCACUUCAGCUAUGUAAAUAGCGUAGCUAAAGGAGAUGUACUUAUGUGGCAUCUUGUGUGCGCUAAGUUCUACGAAAGCUGCUUUCCUCUCGACACCAGCUACUCUUCUCCUCCCAGCAGAGUACUGGUGUCAACGGGAGAGUGCUCAGAGAUCGAUUUAUUGCAUCUAAGCAGACAAAAUAAAUUAAUGACCGGUUGGUUGAUCACUGCAGCAUCGAUCCCUGAUGUAGUGGAGACAAGUUCAGGGUCAGGAACUCCUGUCUGCUUCUAAUUGCUUUCUCUUGUCUGGAACAAGACACUUUACCUGAAUUUCCCCAUCUGCAACAUGAGAACCUUAUCUAUAAUUAUAUGGAUAUGGAAAGGGUGAAUCAGUGUCUGUGGAGUGCUUUGAAGAUAAGCACUAUGGAGAAUAAAUACAUUACUUUUACACUGCAAGUAUUUCCUCCAUCCCUCCCCAUUCCCAUAUAUAUCUGAGAUGAGGACAGGGCAGAGGGGCAGGUGAAAACAAGUUUUUACUCACUCACUUAAAGGACACUAUCCAACCAUCUGCUUUACAUUGGACAUCAUUACCUAUUAUCAUGGCAAGAGAUGAUUCUUGAGUACUUAAAUGGUUGAUGGCUAUUGGUAAUGAUGCAUGAAGCAGAAACAAAGCCAGAGUUUCAAAGAAUCGUGGAGACUUGAAAAGGCUGAGGAGAACUAGUAAUAUGUUUUUGACUAAAUACAGACAUAUGUGGCAAGACAUUGCCAUUUCUAUCCAAUGAGUUCUCCUUUUGGGUCACCUUUUAAUUUUUUGCAGUUGUACAAAUGAGCUCUUUUAGCCCCACUGUUAGAGUUUAAAGGAAACAGCAAUCAGAACAAUAUCUUGAUACUCUUGACAGAUUAAAGCACUUACAAGAAUAAGCUUCAAAGUCUCACCAAGUACCAGAGUUUCAAUGUAAAGUCCGAAAAAAUGGACUUUAAAGAAAACAAACCCAAAAAUGUAUUCUGGUUUAGCUAAGAGUAAAUUAAUUUUCAAGGCACGCCUGUUACUAUUACAGAGCAUAAAUAUAUACAAGGCAAAUGUCCAAAGGUUAGUUUUGGCUGAGACUGCUUGUAACAAUCGUGAAAUAAUCAUAUUAGGAAGUGGUCACAUCCUGGGAUUGAGUCAGGCAACCUGGGCAUCUAGUCUGAUGCUAGCACUCUGCCACUAAUUUGUUCUGAGACCACAGACAAACCAUUUAUUUUCUCUGAGCCUCAGAUUUUUCACCUGAAAAAUGAUGACAAUGAAGCUUACUCAUUUUUCUAGCACACUUGGAGAUCUCGGGAUGAAAAGCAUUAUAUAAGCACAUAUUUACUGUUAUUGAACAUUAUUUGUAUUCUAGUAGUGAUGUCACAAAAUCCUACUCCAUUGCCUCAUCGUGGCAUGGAAGUGACUCUUGGCUCUUGAAGACUAUGGUAGCAGAGUGUAAGCUCUGGCAGGCUUUACCAAGCUGGAAAGAUUUCAAAUAUGGCCCUGGCAGUGGACUUUUUGUCCACCGUCCAAGUACCAGCCUAGCAAAGUGUGACGUGGUUCGUCAUCAGAAAGAUGGCCAGCAGGUGACUAUUUGGCCACAGCAAUGACAACCACUACAAUAAUAUAGCAUUACCUCCAGUCCUGUGUAGUUCCUUCUCACUUUCACAGUAAUGGUGAUGAUGGUGGAGUGGAGAAUAAGGGGGCAGAGGAUGCCAAGAAUCUCUCAGUAUUGAGACCAUCAAUUUGUAUUAAUUUAUAUGUUGGCACACUUCAUAUGCGAUCCCCCUCAAGCUCUGAGCAGGUCAGUACAUUGCUGUAAGAAUUGCAUUGUAUUCACAUUGACAUUCUUCCAUAAUUGAAACCAGAAGAAUAUAGUAAGUCGUGGCAAAUGGAAGGAUUUGCCCUGUGGGACUGUGCCCUGCUUCCACAUGCAUGCUUCUGCUCCUCUGCCUCCUGUCCUGCCCCUGC
Pelodiscus sinensis (Chinese soft-shelled turtle) is the source of this 2672-nucleotide non-coding RNA. The record is from RefSeq and is a predicted model, not a curated record. Lineage: Eukaryota; Metazoa; Chordata; Testudines; Trionychidae.